UACAGAGGUCUCAAGCGUUGUUCGGAUUCAUUGGGCGUAAAGGGUGUGUAGGUGGCGCGCUAAGUCGGGUGUGAAAUUUCGGAGCUUAACUCCGAAACUGCAUUCGAUACUGGCGUGCUUGAGGACUGGAGAGGAGACUGGAAUUCUGGUGUAGCGGUGAAAUGCGCGAUAUCAGAGGAACGAGACCGGUGGCGAAGGCGGGUCUCUGGGCAACAUCUGACGCUGAGGAGCGAA
Molecule: ribosomal RNA, 234 nt
Filed under: uncultured bacterium
Lineage: Bacteria
Description: partial 16S ribosomal RNA
Rfam family: Bacterial small subunit ribosomal RNA
Source: RNAcentral